RNAcentral lists this ribosomal RNA (400 nucleotides) under uncultured bacterium. RNAcentral describes it as "bacterial SSU rRNA". It matches the Rfam family "Bacterial small subunit ribosomal RNA", at positions 355 to 773 of the family's 1533-position model. The record is from RNAcentral.
UGGGGAAUAUUGCACAAUGGAGGGAACUCUGAUGCAGCGACGCCGCGUGAACGAAGAAGGCUUUCGAGUCGUAAAGUUCUUUUAUAUGGGAAGAUAAUGACGGUACCAUAAGAAAAAGCCCCGGCUAACUACGUGCCAGCAGCCGCGGUAAUACGUAGGGGGCUAGCGUUGUCCGGAAUCACUGGGCGUAAAGGGUUCGCAGGCGGAAAUGCAAGUCAGAUGUAAAAGGCAGUAGCUUAACUACUGUAAGCAUUUGAAACUGCAUAUCUUGAGAAGAGUAGAGGUAAGUGGAAUUUUUAGUGUAGCGGUGAAAUGCGUAGAUAUUAAAAAGAAUACCGGUGGCGAAGGCGACUUACUGGGCUCAUUCUGACGCUGAGGAACGAAAGCGUGGGUAGCAAAC